GAGUUUGAUCAUGGCUCACAUUGAACGCUGGCGGCAUGCCUUACACAUGCAAGUCGAACGGCAGCACGGGUGCUUGCACCUGGUGGCGAGUGGCGAACGGGUGAGUAAUACAUCGGAACAUGUCCUGUAGUGGGGGAUAGCCCGGCGAAAGCCGGAUUAAUACCGCAUACGAUCUACGGAUGAAAGCGGGGGACCUUCGGGCCUCGCGCUAUAGGGUUGGCCGAUGGCUGAUUAGCUAGUUGGUGGGGUAAAGGCCUACCAAGGCGACGAUCAGUAGCUGGUCUGAGAGGACGACCAGCCACACUGGGACUGAGACACGGCCCAGACUCCUACGGGAGGCAGCAGUGGGGAAUUUUGGACAAUGGGCGAAAGCCUGAUCCAGCAAUGCCGCGUGUGUGAAGAAGGCCUUCGGGUUGUAAAGCACUUUUGUCCGGAAAGAAAUCCUUGGCUCUAAUACAGUCGGGGGAUGACGGUACCGGAAGAAUAAGCACCGGCUAACUACGUGCCAGCAGCCGCGGUAAUACGUAGGGUGCGAGCGUUAAUCGGAAUUACUGGGCGUAAAGCGUGCGCAGGCGGUUUGCUAAGACCGAUGUGAAAUCCCCGGGCUCAACCUGGGAACUGCAUUGGUGACUGGCAGGCUAGAGUAUGGCAGAGGGGGGUAGAAUUCCACGUGUAGCAGUGAAAUGCGUAGAGAUGUGGAGGAAUACCGAUGGCGAAGGCAGCCCCCUGGGCCAAUACUGACGCUCAUGCACGAAAGCGUGGGGAGCAAACAGGAUUAGAUACCCUGGUAGUCCACGCCCUAAACGAUGUCAACUAGUUGUUGGGGAUUCAUUUCCUUAGUAACGUAGCUAACGCGUGAAGUUGACCGCCUGGGGAGUACGGUCGCAAGAUUAAAACUCAAAGGAAUUGACGGGGACCCGCACAAGCGGUGGAUGAUGUGGAUUAAUUCGAUGCAACGCGAAAAACCUUACCUACCCUUGACAUGGUCGGAAUCCCGCUGAGAGGUGGGAGUGCUCGAAAGAGAACCGGCGCACAGGUGCUGCAUGGCUGUCGUCAGCUCGUGUCGUGAGAUGUUGGGUUAAGUCCCGCAACGAGCGCAACCCUUGUCCUUAGUUGCUACGCAAGAGCACUCUAAGGAGACUGCCGGUGACAAACCGGAGGAAGGUGGGGAUGACGUCAAGUCCUCAUGGCCCUUAUGGGUAGGGCUUCACACGUCAUACAAUGGUCGGAACAGAGGGUUGCCAACCCGCGAGGGGGAGCUAAUCCCAGAAAACCGAUCGUAGUCCGGAUUGCACUCUGCAACUCGAGUGCAUGAAGCUGGAAUCGCUAGUAAUCGCGGAUCAGCAUGCCGCGGUGAAUACGU
Molecule: ribosomal RNA, 1363 nt
Filed under: unidentified marine bacterioplankton
Lineage: Bacteria
Description: bacterial SSU rRNA
Rfam family: Bacterial small subunit ribosomal RNA
Source: RNAcentral